RNAcentral lists this unclassified non-coding RNA (639 nucleotides) under Zea mays. RNAcentral describes it as "misc RNA Zm00001eb198480". The record is from RNAcentral. Lineage: Eukaryota; Viridiplantae; Streptophyta; Magnoliopsida; Poales; Poaceae.
GAGAGACUAGAGGGAGGUGGAGCGACAAAGCCAUAAGGAAAGGAAAGAGAGCCAAGGAACACGAAGCAGCAACACACAUCGCGGCGGCGUAGCAAUUGAAGGAACACGACGGAAUGUAAUCCAGCCGGCGGGCUCGUUACCUGGGCGGCGUUGAUGGCGGCGUUGAGCAGCGUCGGGACGGCGCGGCGGCCGACGCGGACGUCCGCCUCCACGCAUCCGAAGGAAGCUGCGGUUGUCGUCGUGGGUGAGCGGCGGCGGCGGCUGCUGCGUCCUUCCGGCCGUCGCGGCCGCGUGCCAGUCCUCGUCUUCGCUGCCGGUGAGCUCCACGGUAGCCGGCGUCGUCGGCUGCCCCAUCGUCUCCUCCAUCAUCAGCGGCGCCGCGCGGACCGGUUGAUGAGCGCGCGUACAAACAAACUAGUUGCUAGCACUACGAUCGACCUGGUGCUAGCUGUCCUAAUGGAGGACGGUCGGCACGGCAUAUAUGUAUAUAUGUCACCGGUAGAAAAGAGCUCGGUGGGUUCAACUUUCUACAAGCUAUUUUUAUUGAAGCUUCUCUAUAGCAACCGUCAGUCAGUAGAAAUCAUUUUUACUGGUAAUUUUCUUUGUGAACCGCCAGUAAAAAUGUGUCAUAUAUUAGCG